UUGGUUUUUGUUUUUUUUUUUUUUUUUGUUAAGUUAUAAAUUAUUGCCUGAUACCUGAUAUAAUAUACCUGAAAUUAAUUAAUCAUUUUUUCAAUUCCAAGAAAAAUGGAAAAUAAAAACAACAAUCAAAAUGAUGGGAGUGAAAAUAGCCGUCGUCGAGUGUACAUGUGUUUAUUAAAAUCUUAAUAAUUAAAAAAUUUAAUUGAUAAAAUUUUAUAUUUAUUCUCCUAAUUCUCAUACUCAUUUUGAUAUCAAAAAUAACUGUAUGAUGGAAUGUACAGUUAAUUCGUUGGAAGAUUCUAUUACUGUUCUAAAAAGAAAUCCUCAUCAUCAUCAACAUAAUGUUGAUGUUGGUAAUCAUCAACACCAUCCACACCAGUAUUAUUAUUACCAUCAAUUACAAUUCCAGCAAUAACAGCAAUUGGAAUUGUUGUUCCAAUUACAACAGCAAAUGAUUGCCGCUUAUUCUCGGCUAAUUAAAAGAAUGUGAGAAAUUGCCGAGAAAGAUAAGACAAUUUGUUUCGAGGUCGAUAUUGAUGCUUGGAAACGAAUCCAAAUUUACAUGUUAUCGAUUUUGGAAAGCGAGAUACCAGAGUUUUAUUUAAUGAAAAUAAAACUAGAUCUUGAACAUGCUAAUUGUUUGAAUGAAAAUUUAAAAUCAAGGUUUUGUUUGAAAAUAAUCACAAACUCAAAAAAAACACUGUGUGUUCAUAAUAAUAGCAAAUAAUCGAAUACAUUUUUAUUUUCAAAAAACACAAUACUAAAUACAAAAUACAAAUCGAACUAUUGAACAAUAAAGUUCUAUAAUACGUUUCAUUCUACACUAAAUAUACAACAUAGGGUGCCAAAAAAAGAAAAUUUGAUUCAACCAAUGAAUUGGUAAUAAGUUA
Non-coding RNA from Dermatophagoides farinae (American house dust mite), 890 nucleotides. Lineage: Eukaryota; Metazoa; Arthropoda; Arachnida; Sarcoptiformes; Pyroglyphidae. The record is from RefSeq and is a predicted model, not a curated record.